GUCCAGCUGACAAAUCCCAAAUAGGACGAAACGCGAGUCAAACUGGAU
Molecule: non-coding RNA, 48 nt
Organism: Schistosoma haematobium
Lineage: Eukaryota; Metazoa; Platyhelminthes; Trematoda; Strigeidida; Schistosomatidae
Source: Rfam